UACGUAGGGGGCAAGCGUUGUCCGGAAUCAUUGGGCGUAAAGCGCGUGUAGGCGGCCAGAAAAGUCCGCUGUGAAAACUCGAGGCUCAACUUCGAGCUGUCGGUGGAAACUUUCUGGCUAGAGUCCGGAAGAGGAGAAUGGAAUUCCUGGUGUAGCGGUGAAAUGCGCAGAUAUCAGGAAGAACACCCGUGGCGAAGGCGGUUCUCUGGGCAUUAACUGACGCUGAGGAGCGAAAGCAUGGGGAGCGAACAGG
RNAcentral lists this ribosomal RNA (253 nucleotides) under uncultured bacterium. RNAcentral describes it as "partial 16S ribosomal RNA". It matches the Rfam family "Bacterial small subunit ribosomal RNA", at positions 524 to 776 of the family's 1533-position model. The record is from RNAcentral.